This 481-nucleotide ribosomal RNA is filed under the name uncultured bacterium. RNAcentral's name for it is "partial 16S ribosomal RNA". It matches the Rfam family "Bacterial small subunit ribosomal RNA", at positions 32 to 523 of the family's 1533-position model. The record is from RNAcentral.
AAUCAACGCUGGCGGCGUGCCUCAGACAUGCAAGUCGAACGAUUAAAGCUCUCUUCGGAGAGUGCAUAGAGUGGCGCACGGGUGAGUAACACGUAAGUAAUCUACCUUCGAGUGGGGAAUAACGUCCGGAAACGGACGCUAAUACCGCAUAAUGCAGCGGCAUCGCAAGAUGUCAGUUGUUAAAGAUUUAUCGCUUGAAGAGGAGCUUGCGGCAGAUUAGCUAGUUGGUAAGGUAAUGGCUUACCAAGUCUACAAUCUAGAACCGGUCUUAGAGGACGGUCGGACACACUGAGACGGAAUAACGGGUCAGGCUCCUACGGGAGGAAGCAGUCGGGAAUUUUGGGCAAUGGGCGAAAGCCUGACCCAGCAACGCCGCGUGAAGGAUGAAGUAUUUCGGUAUGUAAACUUCGAAAGAAUGGGAAGAAUCAAUGACGGUACCAUUUAUAAGGUCCGGCUAACUACGUGCCAGCCGCCGCCGUAA